RNAcentral lists this signal recognition particle RNA (298 nucleotides) under Saimiri boliviensis boliviensis (Bolivian squirrel monkey). RNAcentral describes it as "Metazoan signal recognition particle RNA (ENSSBOG00000002545.1)". It matches the Rfam family "Metazoan signal recognition particle RNA". Rfam says of the family: The signal recognition particle (SRP) is a universally conserved ribonucleoprotein. It is involved in the co-translational targeting of proteins to membranes. The record is from RNAcentral. Lineage: Eukaryota; Metazoa; Chordata; Mammalia; Primates; Cebidae.
GCCGGGCGCAGUGCUGCAUGCUUGUAGUCCCAGGUACUCGGGAGGCUGAGGUGGGAGGACUACUUGGGUCCAGGAGUUCUGGGCUGUAGUGUACUAUGCUGAUCAGGUGUCCGCACUAAGUUUGGCAUCAAUAUGGUUACCUCCUGGGAUUGAGGAUUACCAAGUUGCCUAAAGAGGGGUGAACCAGCCAAGGUCAGAAACAGAGCUGGUCAAAAUUCCCGUGCUGAUCGGUAGUGGGAUCAUGACUGUGAAUAGCCACUGCACUCCAGCCUGGGCAACAUAGGGAGACAUCGUCUCU